CAUACCUUUACAUGGGUCAAUGAUCUCUACUGCUGAUGAUUUGAUAAUUCGAUGAGGUCUUCAUUCAGACCGCACAUGCAUUCUGCCUCUAUGAGUAUCCACAUGAAGCCUUCAGUCCAAUCAGAGGUCUAUAUCUUCACCGUGGUGCUGGCUCUCUUGCAGAAGAUGUCUCCUGACAGUUGAUACUAAUUUUCUCCACCAUUUUCUCUUAGACCCUC
This 218-nucleotide long non-coding RNA is filed under the name Elaeis guineensis (African oil palm). RNAcentral's name for it is "long non-coding RNA (EGUI_LNC053549)". The record is from RNAcentral. Lineage: Eukaryota; Viridiplantae; Streptophyta; Magnoliopsida; Arecales; Arecaceae.